RNAcentral lists this ribosomal RNA (468 nucleotides) under uncultured bacterium. RNAcentral describes it as "partial 16S ribosomal RNA". It matches the Rfam family "Bacterial small subunit ribosomal RNA", at positions 28 to 507 of the family's 1533-position model. The record is from RNAcentral.
GACGAACGCUGGCGGCGUGCUUAACACAUGCAAGUCGAACGGAAAGGCCCUGCUUUUGUGGGGUGCUCGAGUGGCGAACGGGUGAGUAACACGUGAGUAACCUGCCCUUGACUUUGGGAUAACUUCAGGAAACUGGGGCUAAUACCGGAUAGGAGCUCCUGCUGCAUGGUGGGGGUUGGAAAGUUUCGGCGGUUGGGGAUGGACUCGCGGCUUAUCAGCUUGUUGGUGGGGUAGUGGCUUACCAAGGCUUUGACGGGUAGCCGGCCUGGGAGGGUGACCGGCGCCUGGGGGACUGGGGUCGGCCCCGGUGCCGAAGGGGGGAAAAGGGGGGGAAUUUUGGCAAAGUGGGGGAAGGUGUGUGGAGGAGGCCCGGCGGGGGGGAGGCCGGCUUGUGGUUAGAAAACCUCUUCCGCUGGAGACAAAGCUGGAGAGAGGGUAAGGGAAAAAUAAGCACCGGCUAACUGCGUG